CGUGCAUGUGUUUAGUGGACUCGGGAAAGGAGUGAGAUAGCCAAAGCACAUGCGAGGGAUAGGUAUAGCAGUUAGAGGUUAGAAGUUAAAGUGAGAAAGUAAAGUUAGAAGAAAAAGUUAAAAGUCAUUUCUGAUGCAAUAGAGAGGAGAAUUACGUAGGCAUAGUGUCGAAAGACGGAGAGAUUGAAGCCAUCGGGUAAAAAGGUCCACUGUGGGCCUUUUUUCAUAGCUCUCAACAAAUACCCGGAGAGGUUGGUCUGGCCAGGACAGGUUCAACGUUCAAGUCGACGCGGCACAGCGAGAAGGAUCGCCAUUGUAAAACGCCCGGGUUUUUGAGAGGUC
Wyeomyia smithii (pitcher-plant mosquito) is the source of this 342-nucleotide long non-coding RNA. RefSeq lists it as uncharacterized. The transcript is spliced from 3 exons. The record is from RefSeq and is a predicted model, not a curated record. Lineage: Eukaryota; Metazoa; Arthropoda; Insecta; Diptera; Culicidae.